RNAcentral lists this ribosomal RNA (500 nucleotides) under uncultured bacterium. RNAcentral's name for it is "partial 16S ribosomal RNA". It matches the Rfam family "Bacterial small subunit ribosomal RNA", at positions 30 to 523 of the family's 1533-position model. The record is from RNAcentral.
AUUGAACGCUGGCGGCAUGCCUUACACAUGCAAGUCGAACGGCAGCACGGAGCUUGCUCUGGUGGCGAGUGGCGAACGGGUGAGUAAUAUAUCGGAACGUACCCAAGAGUGGGGGAUAACGUAGCGAAAGUUACGCUAAUACCGCGUACGAUCUCAGGAUGAAAGCAGGGGACCUUCGGGCCUUGUGCUCCUGGAGCGGCCGAUAUCUGAUUAGCUAGGUGGGGGGGUAAAGGCCCACCAAGGCAACGAACAGUAGCUGGUUUGAGAGGACGGCCAGCCACACUGGAACUGAGACACGGUCCAGACUCCUACGGGAGGCAGCAGUGGGGAAUUUUGGACAAUGGGGGCAACCCUGAUCCAGCAAUGCCGCGUGAGUGAAGAAGGCCUUCGGGUUGUAAAGCUCUUUUGUCAGGGAAGAAAAGGGAUUGGCUAAUAUCUAGUCCUCAUGACGGUACCUGAAGAAUAAGCACCGGCUAACUACGUGCCAGCAGCCGCAGUAA